RNAcentral lists this ribosomal RNA (509 nucleotides) under uncultured bacterium. RNAcentral describes it as "partial 16S ribosomal RNA". It matches the Rfam family "Bacterial small subunit ribosomal RNA", at positions 28 to 523 of the family's 1533-position model. The record is from RNAcentral.
GACGAACGCUGGCGGCGUGCCUAACACAUGCAAGUUGAGCGACGAACCAGGGCUUGCCCUGGGGCAAAGCAGCGAACGGGUGAGUAACACGUGGGUAACCUACCCCGAUAACCGGGACAACCCGAGGAAACUCGGGCUAAUACCGGAUGUGCUCACUGAACUUCGGUUCAGUGCGUAAAGAAAGCUUCGGCCUCCGUAUCGGGAGGGGCCCGCGGCCCAUUAGCUAGUUGGUGAGGUAACGGCUCACCAAGGCCGCGAUGGGUAGCUGGUCUGAGGGGACGAUCAGCCACACUGGGACUGAGACACGGCCCAGACUCCUACGGGAGGCAGCAGUGGGGAAUCUUGCGCAAUGCGCGAAAGCGUGACGCAGCAACGCCGCGUGGGGGAAGAAGGCCUUCGGGUUGUAAACCCCUUUCAGGAGGGACGAAGGUUCGGCGGUGAAUAGCCGUCCGGACUGACGGUACCUCCACAAGAAGCCCCGGCUAACUACGUGCCAGCCGCCGCAGUAA